RNAcentral lists this ribosomal RNA (200 nucleotides) under uncultured Lactobacillus sp. RNAcentral describes it as "partial 16S ribosomal RNA". It matches the Rfam family "Bacterial small subunit ribosomal RNA", at positions 163 to 355 of the family's 1533-position model. Lineage: Bacteria; Bacillati; Bacillota; Bacilli; Lactobacillales; Lactobacillaceae. The record is from RNAcentral.
CUAAUACCGGAUAACAACAGAUGAUGCCUAUCAACUGUUUAAAAGAAUGGUUCUGCUAUCACUCUUGGAUGGACCUGCGGUGCAUUAGCUAGUUGGUAGGGUAACGGCCUACCAAGGCGAUGAUGCAUAGCCGAGUUGAGAGACUGAUCGGCCACAUUGGGACUGAGACACGGCCCAAACUCCUACGGGAGGCAGCAGUU